CGCACAUUGCGCCCGCCAGUAUUCUGGCGGGCAUGCCUGUUCGAGCGUCAUUUCAACCCCUUAAGCCCUCGUUGCUUAGCGUUGGGAGCCUACAGCGAUGUAGCUCCUUAAAGUCAGUGGCGGGGUCGGCUCAACACUCCAGACGUAGUAGUAGAAUUUCUCUUCCACCUCGCCUGCGGUUUGGACCGGUCCCUCGCCGUAAAACACCCCACUUUCUCAAGGUUGACCUCGGAUCAGGUAGGAAUACCCGCUGAACUUAA
Molecule: unclassified non-coding RNA, 260 nt
Filed under: Hypoxylon sp.
Lineage: Eukaryota; Fungi; Ascomycota; Sordariomycetes; Xylariales; Hypoxylaceae
Description: partial contains 5.8S ribosomal RNA, internal transcribed spacer 2, and large subunit ribosomal RNA
Source: RNAcentral